CUUCUAAAAAUAUAAUAAAAAAAGAAUUAGUGAAAAAUUCCAAUCCAAACGAAGAUAUAACAAUAAAUAUGACCGCGCGUCAGGAGGCGGGCCGCGGCGCGCAGCUGCUGCGUGCGGCGCAGGCUACCAAAGAAGCUCGAACAGCCCAUAGAUUACAGAAAACUGUACAAAAUAUACAAAUUAUCGAGAAGGAAGGCACGCAAUAUGAAGCUGGAAUGGGAGAUUAAGCAUCCAUCAAUGUUACAAGGAGAUAUCAUGCCGACUCUGAGGGGACAUUUUUUCAGCAGUGGUCCAAUUAAUGCCACAAAACUUCAUUUUAUUAAUAUUCAAAACUUUAUUAUUAAUUAUUUUUUACACUUAAAGGACCAGUAAAUCAUAUGCAAUUCAUAUUUUACUUUAUUAUUUCAGAUAUACCCCCUAAAAAAAUUCUCCAAACACAUCAAUUUUUCGCUGCUAUAGAGGUAUGUAACUCCUUAAAACAUCUGAAUCAAGGAUUUGCGCGAAUCCUUAUAGUAAAUCUCACACAUCUCGUCGUCCUUAUCAUCUGACUCACUAGCAAUGCGUGCAAUGACCAACAAGAUAAUCGAUAUGAAUUGACGUGCUUGUGGUCAAUGUUGGAGUUCCGAGACAAAGGAAUAAAAAAAGUUCACCGAGACAAAGAAAUAAAAAAAUAUUAAGCAGGUGGGUUAGCGUUGCAUGUAAAUACUCUUUCGAAUUGCCAUGGUGCUUGAGCACUUCCAAUAGGCGAUACAAAAUAGUCCUUUAAAUAAUUACGUAAGCCCACAGAAACAGAUCCAGCUCUAUCAGGUCCUACUCUUGAUAACUCUCUAAAGUAUUCUGCAAAUCCUACAGUAUGCCAUCGGUUUUCAUGAUGUCUUCCUUCAUCAUUUUCUACAUCAAGCCAUUCAGGUCGAGAAUAUUGGCUAUUAUCAUUAGCAUUCAUGGCAAAAUUAUGUAAACACACAAGUGCUUUACAAAUCUUUUCUGCAUUUUGUACCGAGCAACACAUCCUUUUAUGUAGGAUCCUCCAACGAGAAGUAAGAAUACCAAAAGUAUUCUCUACACAAUCGUGCUCGACUUAAUCGAUAGUUAAAUACACGUUCCUCAUCUGUCAUUCUGCUAACUCUCCUUGAAAAAGGACGCAUUAAAUACGGUUUUAGAGGAAAUGCUUCGUCAGCCACUAUGACAAAAGGAAAUGGAAUAUCUCUUCCUGGUAAAGGCAUGGGUUCUGGCAAAUCUGCUGCAUUACUUUCUAAAUCAGCAGCCAAAUUCGUUUGGCUCCAUAUGCCACCAUCACUUAUUGAACCUACAAAUCAUACUUCUUAUUAAGUAGGACUGCAUACAAUAAUAUUUCAUAAAUUUAUAAAUAAAACAUAUUUACCAAAUUGACCAAUAUCAACCUAUUUGAAUUUAUAGUUAGCGUCGCACAGUGCUAAAAGAACUAUACUAAAGUAUCCUUUAUAAUUAAAAAAGUGAGAUCCUGAACAUGGCGGUGCUUGUAUUUCUAUAUGGCGCCCGUCAAGUGCUCCUACGCAAUUUUGAAAUUGCCACUUAAACAAGAAGUCUUCACUUUUCUUUUUCCAUUCAUCAGCACUCAAUGUAGGCAAAACAACAGGUUGUAGAGCUAGCCAUAUAGCAUGGCACACUUCUGGUAUAAUUUUGUGUACUGUUGAUUUUCCCACACGAUACUCCAAAUGUUUGGACAUCACGCUAUCACCUUGGGCAAGAUAUCUACAACAGGAAAAGAACAAUUAUAAAAUGUGAAAUAAGACAAGAUAGCACUAUCACAAUUGUAGCUACUCACGUCAGGGUUAUAGCCAGUCUUGUAUCUGGUGACAAAGAUUUUCGAUUACUGCGUUUUCUGAGAUAUGGGGUUACUGCCUUCAAUAAAAUUUUGUACUGUUCCGGGCAAAGCCGCGUGUACAUAAAAAAUUCUUCGUGAUCAUUUGAUCUGAUUUCACGAAAUAGAUUACACAGGAAACCUUGUUGUUUCCUUUUAUUGAUUGGUCUCACCCACCAACGUCUAAUUUUCACAUUCUGCCGAUAAUUUAUAAUUUGAAGCGCAACGUUUUGAUGCCAUAAUAACAUUAAAAAAGUCAUAAGGCCUAAUAAUUUCUGUAAAUCCAUUUUUGAGCGGGCACAUAUAUCACUGAUUACACAACAAAGCACACACUCCACAUUUUCUUUCUUCAUUGGUCUGCCUUACAUCUUACGUUACUGCCAUUGUAGACAAAUGGUUUUAAGAAUAAAAACUUUACAACCUACAACUAAAUAAUUACGACAAUAUCGAGCGUAAUGUACGUACACAAAUUAACGACUUAACCUUUCUUGAUAUGUAUUUUAACAUAAUAGUUUUAGAAUUAACUGCGUUGCGCUUCAACGAAAUCCUACGUAUAAUUUUGUCAAAUCGCGGGAUGUAACUUUACAAUACAAAUUACUUUAACUAUGAUUUUCACAAUAUCCAUAUUCACACGACCCUGCGAAUUGUAUUUUCCUAUGGAGAAUUCACAGCGAAUAAAUGCGAAAAAUUCCUCAUACUGUGACAUUCAAGCCUGUACUUUUAAUAAUAAUAAUAAUAAUUAAAAUGUAAGAACAAUAUCGCUAUUUUAUUCUACUUUAUAGAAAUAUGUAAUACAUGUUAUAAGCGUAUCAUCUAAUAAACUUCUUUGUAUCCACGACGCCUUUCUUACUUCUUCGCUGCAUUCUCACGCCUACCUCCCACCGAGCCGCGAUAAUAAAUCUUUUUCCUAUACACCCGCAAAUUGACAAUAAACGGGACGUGACCGUAGCUGUUUCUUCUUCCACCCCCGCGCCCAAAACUAACCCCGACACAAACCCGUCAUUUUGUCGGCCCCUGGCCCCAAAAGGCCCACGCUAAAAUGACCCUUUUUAACCAAUCCGAUCGCGUGGCAGUUACGGGAGCAACUAAUCAGAUCGCGCGGCUGUUACGGAGGCAGCCAAUCAGAUCGCGUGGCAGUUACGGGAGCAACCAAUCAGAACGCACCACUCGCCCUAGGCCACGCCCACUGUCUGUGACGUCAUUUGUUUUGAUGCCCCAUACGCUCCCAUAUACUACUACGGGACAUUGCCCUGAACGAUUAAGAGAACUUAUACCACAAGACAAACAAGUGCAUAUUUUAACAAUACCAAAAAAACGACUGCUUUUGUACAACCUUUAGACGUUUUCGGUUUUAGAAUCUGGAAAACUUUUGUUCGAAGUUUUUCUGAUAGUGUUAUUUCACAUAAUUAUGAUGUAAAUUUACAUUUACGUAAUAACAUGAUAAAAUUACAGUCUUUGACACAUAAUCAGCUUUCUUCUCCAAGAUUCCGAAAAUUUAAAUAUAGUUGGUACAAAAGUGGCUAUUUGUCACCACGGCCUGAAAGGUUUAAGAAUCCAAUUAAUUAUUGAUAUUUCAAAGAAGAAGAACGUAUACCAAGAUGUAGUAUUUGUGGUAAAAUGGCUUUUAUACGUUGUGCAUGAUGCAAAAAUUAUUAUUGUUUUGAACACUUUUUUGAACAAUAUCAUUAUUGUAACAACUAUAACGAAUAAAUAUUUAAUUUCUAAUUCUCUAUUGUAAUAACACGAUAUGUAUGGAAAGUAGCGUAAGCAAUUGUUAUAUAGUAAACAGAUUCUGAAUGAGUUAUAAAAUAGAUCAAAAUAGAUUAAAAUAGAUUAGUUAUAAAAAAGAUCGUAUAAUAAAAUAUGUAUAAAGAUAACAAUAUUGACAGUGCACUAUUGUCUUAUAUAUGAAAUUUUUAUGCUGGAUAGUUAAAGAGACCAAGGUAAUAAAGAAAUGUAAGUAGCAUGUAAUUCCUACUGCAUAAUUAAUUAGAGUAUUCUAUACAUAUUUCUUUCAAUAUAGUAGUCUUUUGUAGUGUGUUUGUUUCUAUUUAAAUAUAUGAUGAUCUAAUCAAUGAGACGUAUAAACCAAUGAAAUUAUACAGGGUGAGCCAUUUUAAACAGUCCAGUUGAAUAUGUCGAAAACCGAGUCCGAUAGAACAAAAUGUUUUAGAUGAAAUUUAUAGGGUUCUGAAGGGGUCAAAAGGUGGUGACAUUGUGAUUUUACUAAGGUCAUUUUUCGAGGACAUAUGAAGGUCAACUUUGGUUUUUUAAAUGAAAACUAGUAUUUUUUAUUACAUAUUUGAAAAGAUUAUCGAAUUUUGCAUAAGAAAUAUUUAUGACUUGUGUGAACUAUGUCUAACAGUUUAGCAGUUAUUCAGGCAUGAUGAAUUUUUUCCCUUAAAUUCUACCACAAAUAACGCGGGCGCGGAUGUUUGUGUUUAUCCAUUCUUAACGAUACCCAGGAUCAACGACGAGGACGUGAUGGAUAUUUAAUCCCAUUGGGGUGCUUGAUCACCGUGAGUCCCCUUGCCUCUCACGAUUAGAUAUGGAACUAACUGUUCAAUAGAUGUUCAAAAACAUCUCCUCUUCUCGCACAUAGAUUAACUCGCAUUUUAAAACUAUCAAUAGUGCGCAAUAAGACUUCACGUGAAAUGUUAUAGCAAACAGUACGUAUUCUGUUUUUCAUGUCAUUUCUCGUGGUUGCUGGUCGAGCAUAAACUUCAACUUUUAAUGAAGCCCCA
Molecule: long non-coding RNA, 4584 nt
Organism: Ooceraea biroi (clonal raider ant)
Lineage: Eukaryota; Metazoa; Arthropoda; Insecta; Hymenoptera; Formicidae
Source: RefSeq, a predicted model, not a curated record